RNAcentral lists this long non-coding RNA (207 nucleotides) under Vigna radiata. RNAcentral's name for it is "long non-coding RNA (VRAD_LNC004226)". Lineage: Eukaryota; Viridiplantae; Streptophyta; Magnoliopsida; Fabales; Fabaceae. The record is from RNAcentral.
UUGAUAGUCUUUGUUGUGUCUUGUGAUUGUUUUCUGUGAUUUGAGAUUUUUGUGCUAUUGUUUCAUGAUUAGAGGGUGUUGUGAUUUAGUGCAUGACUAGAGGAAAUCCUGGAUUCAUACCACCUUUUGACCCUGAAAUUGAUAGGACGUUUCAUAGGUUAGUUAGGCAUUCUAGGAAUUUGUCUUUAGAGUCUGUUUUUGAGUCUG